GCACCUUUGGAAUUACGGUACUUUUGGAAUUACGGCACUUGAGACGAGAUGCGCGUUUGCAAUUACGCCCCAGCACAAUCCCUGACUUGCAAUUUUUCCAGGAAUUUGGCCGGCUGUCUCAGCAGGAUCGGCGGCUCCGCCGUGCCCGGGGUGCUGCUCACAUGUUCUCUCUUCUCCACGGCUGCGAGAGCUCCCUCACGUCCAGCCGAGGUUUUUUUUGGGAGCAGGAGGACCCAAAACCCGCCAGGUUUUCUCCUCUGAGCUCCUCUGGGACGUGCGUGGAGGGGGAUGGCAGCUGGGAAAGGAAUUCCUUUCUGUUUAUCCUCAUGGAUCAUGAGUGGUGUUUGGGAAGGAGGUUGGUCAACAAGGAAGGAAAAAUUGCACCAGCACUUGCUUGGG
This 399-nucleotide long non-coding RNA is filed under the name Serinus canaria (Common canary). RNAcentral describes it as "lncRNA (ENSSCAG00000000057.1)". Lineage: Eukaryota; Metazoa; Chordata; Aves; Passeriformes; Fringillidae. The record is from RNAcentral.